GAUGAACGCUGGCGGCGUGCCUAACACAUGCAAGUGGAGCGACGAACCCGGACUUGUCCGGGGGCAAAGCCGCGAACGGGUGAGUAACACGUGGAUUAUCUGCCCCAAUGACCGGGACAACUCGAGGAAACUCGAGCUAAUACCGGAUGUGCUCUUCGGAGGAAAGGAAGCUUCGGCCUCCGCAUUGGGAUGAGUCCGCGGUGCAUUAGCUAGUUGGUGGGGUAAAAGCCUACCAAGGCGACGAUGCAUAGCUGGUCUGAGAGGACGAUCAGCCACACUGAAACUGAGACACGGUCCAGACUCCUAAGGGAGUCAGCAGUGGGGAAUCUUGCGCAAUGCACGAAAGUGUGACGCAGCAACGCCGCGUGCGGGAAGAAGGUCUUCGGAUCGUAAACCGCUUUCAGUUGGGACGAGGGUUACACGGUGAAUAGCCGGCGUAACUGACGGUACCUUCAGAAGAAGCCCCGGCUAACUACGUGCCAGCCGCCGCCGUAA
This 495-nucleotide ribosomal RNA is filed under the name uncultured bacterium. Its description in RNAcentral is "partial 16S ribosomal RNA". It matches the Rfam family "Bacterial small subunit ribosomal RNA", at positions 28 to 523 of the family's 1533-position model. The record is from RNAcentral.